This 589-nucleotide long non-coding RNA is filed under the name Helianthus annuus (common sunflower). Its description in RNAcentral is "hypothetical non coding rna". Lineage: Eukaryota; Viridiplantae; Streptophyta; Magnoliopsida; Asterales; Asteraceae. The record is from RNAcentral.
UUUCGUCACAUUGGAUAAUCGGAAAGCAUAUGCAAAUUUGUGAGUAUACUCGUAUUUCCCCCUUUUUACUUUUACCACUUUUGGGGUGUAACAUGUUUACCUAUUAACUUACACAUGAACACUUUGUUAAACACAUGAACGUUCCUAUAACAUGCUUGUAUACGUGAUGACUUGAUACUUUAAACUUGGGUUAUUCUUAUGUGUUGAACUUAUCAUUAACUUCGUACGAGCCAAACCUUGACAUAUGUAGCGCUAUAGGAUUAACGACCCGCCCGUAAACUUGAGGUUAUGUCUUGAGCAUAUUGCGUUUUCUUGGUUUGAUAUGUUAGACACAUGCCAUAUUUAAAUGUUUAUCUUGAAUCACAUGCUUGCUAUGAGGAAUUGUUCAAACUUAUCUUUUGCUAUGUUGAGGACGAUGAUGCUAUGAAAUGAAGUAGCGUUGAUGCCUAGAUACACAUAUAGACGUUAGGGUUUAAAAUGUUGUAUCAAAAUUUUGUUAUGUUAUCAUGUUGUUUUGUUAAACUUGUCGUAUUUGAAUUUCUUGUAAUGUUGACUAUUUGAAGUUAUGAAAUGAAAUGAAAUUUGGAUU